GGCUAAAUAGCUCAAUGGUAGAGCGGUGGCUUUGUAAGCUACGGGUUGGGGGUUCGAGUCCUCUUUUAGCCU
Molecule: non-coding RNA, 72 nt
Organism: Sycon ciliatum
Lineage: Eukaryota; Metazoa; Porifera; Calcarea; Leucosolenida; Sycettidae
Source: the annotation of a RefSeq genome assembly